AAGUUUUGACAGCAAAUAAUAGUACGCUAAACAAAUAUCAAAAACGAAUAUUUACGGUCAGAAAUUAUUUCACCUCUCUUCACUUUUGAUAAAACAAAUCGAUACUAAAUUUUAGAGUUCGGCUACUAUACUCCUAUGAGCAUAAACUCUUUUAUACUCAUAAAUUUUCGCCCAUUUGAUCUAUCUUUUUUACCAUUUUCACUCGUUACGUUAUACUAUUCAAUCAAUCACCCACUCAAUUCUAGAAAAUCACUAUCAUCUUGGCUACACAUUCUUUCAACCAAUGACCGAAAACUUAUAAAUAUAUAUAAAGAAGUCUAUACUUAUAAGAGUAUAGUAGUCUUAACCCUAAAUCCUAAACAGACAAAAACUAAAGCAAAACU
This 383-nucleotide long non-coding RNA is filed under the name Ananas comosus (pineapple). RNAcentral describes it as "long non-coding RNA (ACOM_LNC006235)". Lineage: Eukaryota; Viridiplantae; Streptophyta; Magnoliopsida; Poales; Bromeliaceae. The record is from RNAcentral.